Molecule: ribosomal RNA, 466 nt
Filed under: uncultured bacterium
Lineage: Bacteria
Description: partial 16S ribosomal RNA
Rfam family: Bacterial small subunit ribosomal RNA
Source: RNAcentral
GACGAACGCUGGCGGCGCGCCUAACACAUGCAAGUCGAACGAGCGAGCGAGAGCUUGCUUUCUCGAGCGAGUGGCGAACGGGUGAGUAACGCGUGAGGAACCUGCCUCAAAGAGGGGGACAACAGUUGGAAACGACUGCUAAUACCGCAUAAGCCCACGGUGCCGCAUGGCACAGAGGGAAAAGGAGCAAUCCGCUUUGAGAUGGCCUCGCGUCCGAUUAGCUAGUUGGUGAGGUAAUGGCCCACCAAGGCGACGAUCGGUGGCCGGACGGGGGGGUUGAACGACCACAUUUGGGCUGAGACACAGACCAGACUCCUACGGAAGGGAGGAGAGGGGAAUAUUGCACGAUGGAGGAAGCCCUGGUGUAGCGACGCCGCGUAGAGGAAGAAGGUCGUCGGAUUGUAAGCUCGUGUUGGAGGGGAAGAGAAUGACGGUACCCAACAAGGAAGUGACGGCUAACUACGUG